UAAAGUAAGAAAGAGCGUAUGGCGGAUGCCUAGGCACAGAGAGGCGAAGAAGGACGCAGCAAACAGCGAAAUGCGACGGUUAGCAGUAAGCAUGCAACGAUCCGUCGAUGUCCGAAUGGGGGAACCCACCUGGAGUAGAGACCAGGUAUCCUGAAGUGAAUAAAUAGCUUCAGAGAGGCGAGACUCAGGGAACUGAAACAUCUAAGUACCUGAAGGAAGAGAAAAUAAACGAAUGAUUCCCUAAGUAGCGGCGAGCGAAAGGGGAAGAGCCCAAACCGAUCUUAGGAUCGGGGUUGUAGGACUGUCGGCAAAGAGCAAGAAAUCAUUAUAGGCGAACGGAAUGGGAAGUCCGGCGAAACAGGGUGACAGCCCCGUAGCCGAAAUAGUGAAGAAGCACGAGACAGCACCUGAGUACGGCGGGACACGAGGAAUCCUGUCGGAAUCCACCAGGACCAUCUGGUAAGGCUAAAUACUCCUCUGUGACCGAUAGUGAACCAGUACCGUGAGGGAAAGGUGAAAAGAACCCCGGGAGGGGAGUGAAAUAGAACCUGAAACCAUAUGCUUACAAGAAGUUAGAGCCCGUUAAAGGGUGAUAGCGUGCCUUUUGUAGAAUGAACCGGCGAGUUACGAUAUGGAGCGAGGUUAAGCAGGAUAUGCGGAGCCGAAGCGAAAGCGAGUCUUAACAGGGCGAAAGUUGCAUGUCGUAGACCCGAAACCGAGUGAUCUAGCCAUGACCAGGUUGAAGUUGGGGUAAAACCCGAUGGAGGACCGAACCGACCCCCGUUGAAACGUUGGCGGAUGAGUUGUGGCUAGGGGUGAAAUUCCAAUCGAACUCGGAGAUAGCUGGUUCUCCCCGAAAUAGCUUUAGGGCUAGCGUCGAGGUAAAGUCGUGUGAAGGUAGAGCACUGAAUAUGUGAUGGCCCCAUCUCGGGGUACUGAACAUAAUCAAACUCCGAAUGUCACAAAGAUAUACUCGGCAGUCAGACAGUGGGUGAUAAGGUCCAUUGUCAAAAGGGAAACAGCCCAGACCAUCAGCUAAGGUCCCAAAAUAUAUACUAAGUGGAAAAGGAUGUGGAGAUGUCCAGACAACUAGGAGGUUGGCUCAGAAGCAGCCAUCCUUUAAAGAGUGCGUAACAGCUCACUAGUCGAAUGACUCUGCGCCGAUAAUUUACCGGGGCUAAGUAUAUUACCGAAGCUAUGGAUUUACGCGUAAGCGUGAGUGGUAGGGGAGCGUUCUAUGUGCGGAGAAGCGGUACCGUAAGGAGCCGUGGAGCGCAUAGAAGAGAGAAUGCCGGUGUGAGUAGCGAAACGUGGGUGAGAAUCCCACGCACCGAAAACCCAAGGUUUCCAGAGGAAGGUUCGUCCGCUCUGGGUAAGUCGGGACCUAAGGCGAGGCCGAGAGGCGUAGUCGAUGGACAACAGGUAGAGAUUCCUGUACUUACGGUAUGAAUGAUGGAGUGACGGAGAAGGCUAGCGGAUCCUGCUGAUGGAAAUGCAGGUGCAAGCGAGGUAGCCGACAGCCAGGCAAAUCCGGCUGUCGAAAGGCAAAGGCGUGAGGCGUAUGGAAAGCUGCGGCAAGUACAGAAGUCCGUGAAGCCAGCUUCCAAGAAAAGCUUCUAGUGAUAAUCAUACAGUAACCCGUACCGAAAAUGGACACACAUGGGUGAGGAGAGAAUCCUAAGGUGAGCGAGAGAACUAUAGCUAAGGAACUCUGCAAAAUGACUCCGUAACUUAGGGAUAAGGAGUGCUCAUAGAGAUAUGAGCCGCAGUGAAACGGCCCAAGCGACUGUUUACCAAAAACACAGCUCUAUGCUAAGUCGAAAGACGACGUAUAUGGGGUGACGCCUGCCCGGUGCUGGAAGGUUAAGAGGAUGUGUCAGCGCAAGCGAAGCAUUGAAUUGAAGCCCCAGUAAACGGCGGCCGUAACUAUAACGGUCCUAAGGUAGCGAAAUUCCUUGUC
This 1960-nucleotide ribosomal RNA is filed under the name human gut metagenome. RNAcentral's name for it is "bacterial LSU rRNA". It matches the Rfam family "Bacterial large subunit ribosomal RNA", at positions 1 to 1973 of the family's 2925-position model. The record is from RNAcentral.